RNAcentral lists this ribosomal RNA (714 nucleotides) under uncultured prokaryote. RNAcentral describes it as "bacterial SSU rRNA". It matches the Rfam family "Bacterial small subunit ribosomal RNA", at positions 28 to 760 of the family's 1533-position model. The record is from RNAcentral.
GAUGAACGCUGACAGAAUGCUUAACACAUGCAAGUCGAUUCGAUUUACCUUCGGGUAUUGAGGAUGGCGGACGGGUGAGUAACGCGUAAGGAACUUGCCUCUUGGUCUGGGACAACUGUUGGAAACGACAGCUAAUACCGGAUAUUAUGAGAUUCUCGCAUGGGAAACUUAUGAAAGCUAUAUGCGCCAAGAGAGAGCCUUGCGUUCCAUUAGCUAGUUGGUGGGGUAACGGCCCACCAAGGCGACGAUGGAUAGCCGGCCUGAGAGGGUGAACGGCCACAAGGGGACUGAGACACGGCCCUUACUCCUACGGGAGGCAGCAGUGGGGAAUAUUGGACAAUGGGCCACAAGCCUGAUCCAGCAAUUCUGUGUGCACGAUGAAGGUCUUCGGAUUGUAAAGUGCUUUCAGUUGGGAAGAAGAAAGUGACGGUACCAACAGAAGAAGCGACGGCUAAAUACGUGCCAGCAGCCGCGGUAAUACGUAUGUCGCAAGCGUUAUCCGGAUUUAUUGGGCGUAAAGCGCGUCUAGGCGGAAAAAUAAGUCUGAUGUUAAAAUGCGGGGCUCAACUCCGUAUUGCGUUGGAAACUGUUUUUCUAGAGUACUGGAGANGUGGGCGGAACUACAAGUGUAGAGGUNAAAUUCGUAGAUAUUUGUAGGAAUGCCGAUGGAGAAGUCAGCUCACUGGACAGAUACUGACGCUAAAGCNCGAAAGC